RNAcentral lists this ribosomal RNA (503 nucleotides) under uncultured bacterium. RNAcentral describes it as "partial 16S ribosomal RNA". It matches the Rfam family "Bacterial small subunit ribosomal RNA", at positions 30 to 523 of the family's 1533-position model. The record is from RNAcentral.
AUUGAACGCUGGCGGCAGGCUUAACACAUGCAAGUCGAGCGGAGUGAUGGUGCUUGCACUAUCACUUAGCGGCGGACGGGUGAGUAAUGCUUAGGCAUCUGCCUAUUAGUGGGGGACAACAUCUCGGAAGGGAUGCUAAUACCGCAUACGUCCUACGAGAGAAAGCAGGGGAUCACUUGUGACCUUGCGCUAAUAGAUGAGCCUAAGUCGGAUUAGCUAGUUGGUGGGGUAAAGGCCUACCAAGGCGACGAUCUGUAGCGGGUCUGAGAGGAUGAUCCGCCACACUGGGACUGAGACACGGCCCAGACUCCUACGGGAGGCAGCAGUGGGGAAUAUUGGACAAUGGGGGGAACCCUGAUCCAGCCAUGCCGCGUGUGUGAAGAAGGCCUUAUGGUUGUAAAGCACUUUAAGCGAGGAGGAGGCUCUUUUGGUUAAUACCCAAGAUGAGUGGACGUUACUCGCAGAAUAAGCACCGGCUAACUCUGUGCCAGCCGCCGCAGUAA